Molecule: long non-coding RNA, 129 nt
Organism: Maniola jurtina (meadow brown)
Lineage: Eukaryota; Metazoa; Arthropoda; Insecta; Lepidoptera; Nymphalidae
Exons: 3
Source: RefSeq, a predicted model, not a curated record
ACCAAAAUAGUUUUAAAUCAAAGAUAAUAUUGCAACCUUUUUGUAUAUUUAAAUGUUUGAUUCUAAAUCGAUGGCGCGAAAAGUUAUUAAACAUUGAAAAGAAUUUCUCCAUUUUAUUGAGAUAAAAGU